Neoarius graeffei (lesser salmon catfish) is the source of this 1360-nucleotide long non-coding RNA. RefSeq lists it as uncharacterized. Lineage: Eukaryota; Metazoa; Chordata; Actinopteri; Siluriformes; Ariidae. The transcript has 3 exons. The record is from RefSeq and is a predicted model, not a curated record.
CCUGCAUGUAUUGACAAGCUGAAGGGUACAGAACCAGCAAAACAGCAUCAGAAACCAAAGAGCCAUGUUGACUGACAAGAAUCACAGAGGAGCUGGAGCCAGUCCCAGUUAACUUUGGGCAAGAGGCAGGGUACACCCUGGGCAGGUUGCCAAUCUGUUACAAGGCUAACACACAGACGAACAACCAUUCACACCUAUGGGCAAUUGACCUAACUCACACGUUUUUGGAUUGUGGGAGGAAACCAGAGCACCCAGAAGAAACCCACACAGAGAGAAGCCAGUAUCCAGAGAAAGAGAGAAAGCUUAGCACACCAGCAUGACGUGUGCAUGGAAAUUAAAAUAAAGUUGCUGAAAAGUGUCAAUUAAGUGAAAUAAAAUGUGCCUUGUGUUAGCUGUCUCCCAGCUCCUCAUUUCUCAAGAGCCAUGAGAGUGUCACUGGACCUGAAACCCAGGAUUUGAGUAAAAAAGGCCAUCAUGGAGUCCAUGCCCAUCAUCAAACUCUUCCAGACCCUCAUCAGUGUUUACCAAAACCAAUACCAAAAUUCACCCUUGUCACCCUGGGUGAAGAACAGGAGCAGCAUUUCCAGGCUCUACUCCAGGUCCAGGUGAUCCAACCAAUUAGUACUCCAGCCAAUGCUCCUGUGGAUGCUCCAGUCCCAGCCCACAUUGUACUGGGCAAGAUAGGUCUGCAAGAAGACCCUGAGGGCUUUGUGGAGCUAUUUGAGCAUGUUGCUAAAGAGAGCUUGUGGCCAAUCUUACCAGGGUGUCUUCCCUCACCCCUUUGAUCCUCUGUGCCAAUGCUGCUACUGAGUCCCUCUCUCUCCACAGGUGGAACCAUACAUGCUCACCAGGACCAGAACAAAGCCCAGGCAGGUCUGCAGGCAUAGUGGGAAAGCCAGACACUUCCAAGAUCAGCAUCCUCUUAAGGAGGUGGAAAUACUGCUCUGCAUUCCUGAUGUGCCUCAAACCUCCCCUGAUUGAGCAGGAGUGUACAGCCUUGGUGGACAUGGGGUGUAAACAAUGGAUGUGUAAAUGGGGAUGUUCACAAGUAUCUGCUGGUGCCUGUCACUCUUCAAUUUAAGGGAGAAAAAAGUAGAGGUGGUGGUUAAUCCUCACCUCACCUAUCCACUAAUUGUGGGUACCAAUUGGCUGGGGUUUCAAUCAUUAGUAAAGCAUUUGUUUGUGGAUGGGUCCUGCUGCAGUGAGACUCACAGUGAUUCCAGUGUCAUGUUAUCAGGGAGGUGGUCCCAGGCCCAUUUGCAUCAGCGCCACAUCAGGGGGUGCAGAGAUUGAGGAGGACUCCAGCCCUCCAGUUUCCAGAGGGAUUUACCUUUGAAAUUUCCCACUGGCUCAAGCAUGA